Molecule: long non-coding RNA, 4856 nt
Filed under: Podarcis lilfordi (Lilford's wall lizard)
Lineage: Eukaryota; Metazoa; Chordata; Lepidosauria; Squamata; Lacertidae
Source: RNAcentral
GAUAACAUUGCUUUUGUUUUAUUGAGGUACUUAAAGAAACUAAUCACAACAGUUGUUCUUAAAAUCCACCUUUUUCGCCAUUUUAUCGUCAUAUGUUUACCAGGAGUGGAUCUUUGCAUCUUUCUGGUGGGGAGCCCAAGCGUGCGGGAGAAAGGUACAAUUUACCGGGGCUUGUUUGAUCCGGGGCAGGGGCCAGGCCAGCCUGCAACCCUUUAUCAUGGGGGGAGAACAUGAAACUGAACUUCAGAUCUUGAGAGAGUUGCUAGGGCCAAUCGGAACAGAAGCCGUGUUGCAACACUCUGAAGAGAAAAAUGCUGCCCCAGGCCUUUUUCCUAGGACAAGGAGUAUAUACUUUGUGCAGUUAAGCCAGGACUUGUAGUUAGAGAGACAGAGAAAUCAUUUGUGUUUUCCUACGUCUAAUGCUCUCUCAAAAACCACAUUGAUAAUCAGGGACAUUGAUCCCAAGAACAGUGGGAACAAGUGCUGAUUUACAGGCCGAAAAUGUAUGUCAACAAAUGUCCAGUACAUGCACACACCUUACUGCCAUGUCUGGCUAUAAAUAUAAAUCAUGAGAUUGAACAUAUGCAAUGGAAUCAUGAUACAUGUGUGGGACACGUUUGUCCUGUCCCCUCCCCAGUGAAGCUGGGCCCUGCCGAAGAAUCUUGAUCACAGCCAGUGAUAUCUUAAGUCAUAGGAGCCAACUCCUAGGGGCCAAGAGGUAUUUGACCCCCCCCCCCAAUAAAAUAUUCGCCCUCCAAAAAAUGCUGUGCAGGUGCCACAUCAUGUGAUUGAUUCCCUCCCCCCCUCAAUAUUUUUUCUAGUUGGCACCCCUGUCUGAAGUGGCACCUCUGUUCAGAUUAAGGGCACCAGUUACAUGAUGCAAAAAGAAAGGACAUGUUUCACGUUUCACCAUAAAAAAGGACACAGAUUUUUAUAAAAUGAAUAAAUAAUUACUAUGUAGAAAGAGAUACAAUGCAAAGGAUAACUAGGGAGUAAUUAAUAAUUGGAGUACUGAAGGAGAUGCAGUGUUACAAAUUAAAAAAAAUUUAAAACCACAAAAGGAAUGGGGGAAAGUCAAAAUAUACGUAUUUGUUAGAAAAUGUUGGAUUGUAUGUUGAUUUGUCAAAAUAUUUAUGAAAGACUGAAAAAUAACAUUUAUUUUAAAAGCGAGAAAGAGAUACAAUGCAAUUCACCCUCAUGGGGAAGAUUGUGCCCAGGUGAUCUGUGGGCCUGCUCUCUCUGCUGCUCAGGUGCUCCUUUUGAUGGCCAACUCCAAGGCUCCCUCUUUGCUCUCACUUUUCAGGGUUCUUCUUUCUAUAAAUUAAACUUGAACCUAUUAUGUUAUUAGUCUUUUUGAAGUGAUCCCAGAGAACUAAAUGAGGCAACGUAUACUAUCUCAGGCCCUUGGGUGUCUCAAAUGCAGCCUACCACACUCCCCACACCCCAAAUAUGGAACCAUUUUCAAGGCUAGGACGUGAUACACUUAAUCAGGCAAAGGGGUGAACUGUGGCUGCUGCUGGGAAACAAAGAUAUAUAAAGUAUUUGUUCUGGAGGGCAUUCGGCUGUUGAGAUCUGCCUAGUAAGUAUUAUUCUGGUUUCAGCUUAUUCUGGUUUUUUGUUUGUGCUCGGUGUUUCUGUUUAGAUACAAUUAUUGGAAGUUAUUGUUCUCCUCGCCACCUUCCAAUUUGUGUGAACCACUUUGAUUGUGUAAAGGUGGCAUAAAAAUGGUUUGUUUGUUUUUUAAGUACUUCUUCCCUUAAAUAUCAGUGUUACCCACCACACUCAGUCAGAUUAGCAGAUCAGCUGUGCCCUGCCUGGGCAGCAGUGACCUUUGGUCACUUUGGAACAGAGAUUUGGAUAACGAGGGUGUUAAGGAAGCGGGGGCAGCUAUUUUCAUGUAGGAAAGGAUUUGGGAGAGGAAAGCAUCAACAUAUUAGGAAAGGGCCUUCAAGGCUGUGUGCUGCUUGGUGUCAGCAGUGGUGCUAGGGAAAUAAUUUGGUGGGCAACGUGUAUAAAGGCAGGCUGAGACAUUUUGCUGCUUGAGGCAGAGCGGGAAAUGGCACCCCCCCCCCCCAAUCCAGGGGCCAAUCAAGAGAUUUUAGCACCUGAGGCAGAAACUCCCAUAAGCGCUACUUCUUCCACCCCAUGCCCAGCUGUAACUCUACCUAAUGGCGAUAUUGAUGACAAUUAGGAUCAGAUGGUGAGGAUCUGAGAAAUUUAAUAUAUAUAUAACGAAAGAAACCAGCUGCUAGUCUUGUGAGGACCGUUUCCCAACCAUUCCUGCAUCUCCCAUAAAAACCAGUGGGGAGGUUGGGGGGGUGAUGUGGCCCCCUAGACACCUGCUGGGUGGGGAGCUUGCUUCUCCAGCUCAAUUAAAUGUGGCAUCCUUGCGACACAGAGCUCUCCAGCAGUAGAAUUUGACACAUAACUGCAGGUAAAAGCAAGGAUUGAUGCUAUAUUUGUUUGCAAUGCUGCACAGGUAGGCUGAAAAUCCAGAGUAAAGCUGAAGUACACCUUCAAACAGUGCAUAGCUGAAUGUAUGGAAUUUGCUGCCACAAGAUGUGGUGUUGGUCGCCAAUUUGAGAUGGCUACUUGUCAUGAUAGCUGUGUACUACUUGUGGUAUUAGAGGGAGCAUGACGGAAAUACCAUUUCUGGAGAACCAGGGGAGAGGAUGAACUUGCUUCCUUCAUGCCUAUUUAAUAGGCUUCCUAUGGGCAUCUGGUUGGUUGCUGUGAGAACAGGAUUCUGGACUCGAGGACUUUUAGCAUGAUCCAGCGGAGCUCUUCUUAUGUUCUUGUGAGUCAGCAGAAAUAGGGGAAUUCAUUACCUGAGGCCCUGUUUGCAUCUUACACUUUCCUGAAUGAUGUCUGAAUGAAGAAGAAUGUCACAUAAUCAGACACGUGUCAAGACAUUCAAAUGCUUACGAAGUGUUCGCUUAAUAGAUACACUACUGGGUUAUUUGCCCAAUACACUGUGCUUUCUAUAUAGCGGAAUGUGUUUACAAACCUGAAGGUGAGCACAGAAGUCCAGGAUUGCUUUGCGAUUGUUGGCUUGUCUCAGUUUUUAGGGGGAUACGCCUUUCCCUCUACCCUUAUUGUCAGUUUCCCCAUGUCAUAUUGGCAAAAUUCAGAUGUAAUUCUAAACAGUUGUUUUAUCAUUAUGGGAUUAGUAACCUCAGCAAGUUUGAGUUCUUGUGCUUUCCUCCAUCUUUAUGCACAAGGGGAGGAAAUGUAAAGCAGUGGUGAACAGUUGUGGAAACACUGGGUUGCACAAACCAUACUUGGUUCAGAAACCAGGAUGUGUACCAACUGCAGUUUCUCAGAUUCAGAUGAAAGGAAUGUACUUCUGAACCAUUUACCUAUAGUAUAGGGACUCAUGGAUGGACUACAAAAGUGGAUUUUGUAAGCACUUCUGGUAGCUAAGAGACUUCAACUCUGGAAGGAUAAAAACCACCAUCUAUCACACAGUGGCCCAAGGACCUUAUUACCUUGGCUGCAUUCAGAAAUAUUUCAUAUAGGAAUUUUCUGUGGAUACCUAUUUGGACAUCUGGAGGGCUUAAAUUAAUUUAUAUGUUUGGUUUAAGAUUCAUGUACUAACGGUGGUCUAAUAUUAUUUGUAUAUUAUUGUUUAUCAAUAUUAUUUAUCUCUUCUCUUUUUAAAAUGUUAUUUUAUCUUUUUCUCUCAUCUUUCCUCUUCUUGUUAAAUUCACAAAUAAAAAAUUAAUAAUAAGAUUCAGAUGAACCAGGAAAGUGUGGCUUGUUACAAACCAUGCCCAGAAGCUUUAAAUUUCUGCCCCUUGCACAUGAAUAAGGGAGGUGAACGGAAGCCCAAUGCUCGUCAUGUCACACUCAGAUUGCUAAGUCAUGGUUUAAUAACAUGCCCUGAUUUAGCCAGUGUGUAUUGUGUGUGUAUUGAUUUUAUACUAUAUUAACAGCCAUGGCUUCUCCCAAAGAAUCUUGGAAGCCAUGUUUUGGUGAGAGUGCAGUGAAUUUUAAAUGUGAUGUGUCUUAAUAAAUCUAUGUUCCCAGGGUUUCUUGAGGAUGGGGAACGAUUGUUAAAUCAGUCUGAAAUGUAGAAGUGCAAUGGAUCCAAACUACAAGAAAGAAGAUUCCACCUAAACAUUAGGAAGAACUUCCUGACAGUAAGAGCUGUUCGACAGUGGAAUUUGCUGCCAAGGAGUGUGGUGGAGUCUCCUUCUUUGGAGGUCUUUAAGCAGAGGCUUGACAACCAUAUGUCAGGAGUGCUCUGAUGGUCUUUCCUGCUUGGCAGGGGGUUGGAGUCGAUGGCCCUUGUGGUCUCUCCCAACUCUAUGAUUCUAUGGUUCUAUGUACACCAGUAGUUCUCAAACUUUUUUCUCUGGGCCACACACACUUUCAGAAUAAAAAUUUGAUUGUGCCACACCAAAUGUUUUAUUGACAAGAAAUAAAUUGGAAAACAAAGAGAAACAACAACUAGCAGUACUCCGUUGAUAACCCAGAACACAACUACUUCAGGAUACGAUCACGGAGCAUCCAGAAAGUAUAAAACAGUGCAGCUACAUAAGAACAUGAAUCCUUCCCAAAAUAUAAUUACAAACAAGCCUCUUAUAUAUGUAUCUUGUAAAGUACCUUGUAACAAUUUAAUUUACUGAAAUUAGGAAUGUUUAACUGUACACAUUACUGUUUGUUUAAUUCUGGAAUGUUCCUCAGUAACUCUUGUGUGAUCGGUUAACUCUGGUCACAUGGAAAGUGUCCUUAUUCCAUUCUCCAUUUUGUUUUGAGUAUGAGCGACUUGAUUAUAAUAGCUGCAUGUCCAUGAACUCUGAAGGGGAGACACAAUAGAGGAGAGGAGGCCCAUGUUUCUGUGUGAAUGUUUG